RNAcentral lists this long non-coding RNA (223 nucleotides) under Elaeis guineensis (African oil palm). RNAcentral describes it as "long non-coding RNA (EGUI_LNC021565)". Lineage: Eukaryota; Viridiplantae; Streptophyta; Magnoliopsida; Arecales; Arecaceae. The record is from RNAcentral.
AUACCGAUCCCUCAUCAUCCUACUCUAUAAGCAAUCAGGCUGAAUGAGGAAUCUAGCUGUAUUUUUGACAAUCAUAGCCUCCUUCCUAACCAGUAAGGACUGGAUCCCUAAGCCCUCAUCCUGUACAAGUUGGCAGACCACUCUCUAGAAAAGUAGGUGAAGCCCAUGACUAUCAUGUCUAGAGCCCCAUAGAAAAUUCUGGAACUGCUACUCCAGACCCCUA